GCGUCACUAGCUCAGCUGGAUAGAGUAUCGGCCUCCGAAGCCGAGGGUCACAAGUUCGAAUCUUGUGUGACGCGCCA
RNAcentral lists this transfer RNA (77 nucleotides) under Myxococcales bacterium. Its description in RNAcentral is "tRNA-Arg". It matches the Rfam family "tRNA". From Rfam's summary of the family: Transfer RNA (tRNA) molecules are approximately 80 nucleotides in length. Their secondary structure includes four short double-helical elements and three loops (D, anti-codon, and T loops). Lineage: Bacteria; Pseudomonadati; Myxococcota; Myxococcia; Myxococcales. The record is from RNAcentral. RNAcentral also lists the same sequence under 1 other name.